UCCAAAACAGUAGAUGACUAAUUCCUUUCCCAAAUGAUUUGCAAAAUUUCGUAUUUAUGUACAUUUUUCUGACAAGAGUUCAUAACUUCUAUCAUGUAUUCAAGGGGGGCAAUAAACUCCUCAAAAAGGUAAGGGCCAUAGUCCUGAGUGAUUAAUAUUGAAAAUAAGUGAAUGUAAGUUCACAGUAAAGAAAAAUAAAUGUGAGCUGCUUUGGUAUCUCCGUAUUUUUCACAGAAUGCCAAGCUCAUUCUGCCACUAAUCUUUGUUCCUGUAGAGCCCACACUGAGAACACGACUCUGUCCUUUCUAAUCUUGUCCAUCCUUCAAAGCUGCCCUGUAAUGUGUUUCUGGAAUCUGCUGUAGGAAGAGACAGAAAGGAGAACAGAUUUGAAUGAACAAUCAAAUGGACUUGUUAAACAUUUGCUAAGCAAAGCAGAAGAGGGAUGGAUCAAAGGUGACCCCAGAGGACACAUCUUGAUGACAGUCACUCAGAAGAUGAUCCUGGAAGACUGCCCUUCCAAACUUCACCCUCAUAACCAAUCUAGAAGGCACCCCAAAUUGUUGGUAUAGAUAAUCCCAGAUUACCUGGAGGUUCCUUAAUUGUUCCCUUGGAUGAUAUGUUGCCUCAAAGACACAAAAAUACUCAUUUCAGCAUAAAAUGAGUUUUUACCCUCUUACCUCAAGAAUCAUACCCAC
RNAcentral lists this long non-coding RNA (695 nucleotides) under Felis catus (domestic cat). RNAcentral describes it as "lncRNA (ENSFCAG00000050029.1)". Lineage: Eukaryota; Metazoa; Chordata; Mammalia; Carnivora; Felidae. The record is from RNAcentral.